UGGGGAAUAUUGGACAAUGGGCGAAAGCCUGAUCCAGCCAUGCCGCGUGUGUGAAGAAGGUCUUCGGAUUGUAAAGCACUUUAAGUUGGGAGGAAGGGCAGUUACCUAAUACGUGAUUGUUUUGACGUUACCGACAGAAUAAGCACCGGCUAACUCUGUGCCAGCAGCCGCGGUAAUACAGAGGGUGCAAGCGUUAAUCGGAAUUACUGGGCGUAAAGCGCGCGUAGGUGGUUAGUUAAGUUGGAUGUGAAAUCCCCGGGCUCAACCUGGGAACUGCAUUCAAAACUGACUGACUAGAGUAUGGUAGAGGGUGGUGGAAUUUCCUGUGUAGCGGUGAAAUGCGUAGAUAUAGGAAGGAACACCAGUGGCGAAGGCGACCACUGGACUGAUACUGACACUGAGGUGCGAAGCGUGGGGAGCAAACAGGAUUAGAUACCCUGGUAGUCCACGCCGUAAACCGAUGUCAACUAGCCGUUGGGAGCCUUGAGCUCUUAGUGGCGCAGCUAACGCAUUAAGUUGACCGCCUGGGGAGUACGGCCGCAAGG
Molecule: ribosomal RNA, 545 nt
Filed under: uncultured bacterium
Lineage: Bacteria
Description: partial 16S ribosomal RNA
Rfam family: Bacterial small subunit ribosomal RNA
Source: RNAcentral